Coffea eugenioides is the source of this 1762-nucleotide long non-coding RNA. RefSeq lists it as uncharacterized. The record is from RefSeq and is a predicted model, not a curated record. Lineage: Eukaryota; Viridiplantae; Streptophyta; Magnoliopsida; Gentianales; Rubiaceae. The transcript has 2 exons.
UUAGCCGCCAGAUCCGACCGACCAACUGGAAACCGCCCCAAUGUGUCGGUACGACUCCCCUCGGGAUGUCGUACCCCUGCCCUGUUCAAAACGCUGGCGCAAUAGGCUUUUGGUGGUUUAUCCUUCAGCGAUUUUUGUCAUCAAGCCGCAGACAUGGCAUCCACCUGUAUUUUUGAGGUUACGGGUAUCACUACAAAUCUACAGCCCGUUUCUUUCUUCCUGAGAGAAAUUAUAUCUUUAUGUUCGAUUUGAUAUGUUCCCAUGUAUCGAAAAGAUUGUUCUUUAUUCUCCGUCUCCGUCUCUUAUCGUAUUGGGAUAUGUACAAAUUGCUGUGAAGUUGCUACCUUUGCUUGAUUUGUCCCGUGAAUUGAAAGAUUUUUUGGGGUCUAUUGUAAUCAAAGUGUCACCUGAGAAAAUUCUAGGCUUGUAUUGAUUUGAUGGGGAAGUUCUUACAAAUUGAAAAGUUUGGCUCGUCAUAUUUUUUUCCUUACUCGUCUUCUUGUGAAAUCAUUGAGUGCAUAUUUUUUUUUCCUCAUAAUGAAAUUUUGGAUCUUUAUGCACUAAAUUUUCUUCCGUGAUUGCUGGCACUUUGCUGCUUGGCUCGUCACUGUAUAAACGAGCUUUCCUCAGGUAUACUGGUCUGUUGUUUUGAGCUCCUUCGCAUUCUAUAAUUCUAAUCCUUGUUGGAAGCAUAGACUUCUAGCUGUCAUCAUGCUCACAGGAUAGGAGAAGAAUGCCUAAAAUAUGCUCAUACUUGAGUUGAAAACAAAGAAUCACCCUCUAUGCCAAACCAAAUUGUUUAUGAGUUUCUGAACAAUGCUCAGUAAGGUUGGUUUAUAGGAGCCAACCAUGAUUAAUUGCUUGAUCAGAUUCAACGCUCUUAGCACCCGUUGAGAGGAUGAGGUCGGAGCUAGUUCAUCGGUUAUCUUCAUAGUCAGGAAGGAAGCUUUCGUGGCCAGUGUUGCAAAUACACAACUGUACACCUGCAGUCAUGCAUUUCCUCGAUGAUAUGCAAUCAUAGUUUAAAAUCAAACUAUUAUUCAGGUUCUUCUCAUUCCUCCUCCGUGGUUUCACUAUCCAUUUGGCAAAGGUUCAAAACUGCACGGUGAACGAUGAUGGCAAAGAUUGUUCUUCUGCUGAAUUUUGAGGAGACGAAGAAGCGUACUACUAGUAGUUGUUUUGGUUACCAGUCUGCAAAAGGCCCGGGUGGAAGUGUGCCGUAGUUAUAUGAUUAUGGGUUUGCAACUUGCUCGAAUCCAACUGCUGAUCUAUUUCAGCAGCGCGUGGAAGGAGGUAGUUGAAGGUGAUUUCUUCCCAAGCUGUCUAACUUUUGAAAACAAUUCCUCAGCAGUUGUUCUCCAUAUAUCAUUAUUCUUUUCUAGAAUUGUCGAUUUACAGUUGUGUUGCUACUGCUUUAUUCUGAGGCUUUCUCAUUAGGUGCUCAGAGAAGGAUUACGGUGUUCUUCCUGAAGUUUCCAAAUGGGCUAUCUUUUUAGUUACUGGUAAAAUGUUUUUAGCCUCGCUGUAUCUCUGCUAUUCUGGAAGAUGGAGAAAUUUUUUGUGUUUUGCGGUAUCCAAAAUUGGAUGGAGACCUGAAAUGUCCAUUCUCUUGGAGGGGCUGAUAUUGCAAUUACAUAGAUUGAAUUUAUUUGGAAUCCAUAAUCCACAUGUUUAAGUAGUGUGACACUGUGACGUCGAGAACUUCAGUGGUGGUUUUAUUCUGUAAUCGAAUUAUGGAAUGUUUUGACGGGCGUGCAAAGUA